AGCAUCGUGCUCAGAGAGCCCGGCCUCUGGGCGGGACCGGGCGGCCACUGGGCGGUGCUCCCGCGCUCCACCCUGCCUCUUCCUCCAGACUCAGUGGUGCUAGGGCAGCGUGACUGGUAAUUGUGGGGAGGCAGGGCGCUGCCGGCGUUGUCACCUCAACUUUCCGGAGCGUCGCGUCUCAGUGGCGUUCAAGGACACGCAGGCAAAGGCGUCUUCGAAUGUCAUCUUGGAUGCCACGGGCAACCAGCCUACCCACGCAUUAACCAACCUAGUCUCUAAGGCUGUCUUGUCACAGCACCUCGCGAGCAGGAGCAUAUGGGGCCUCCUAGGCGGCCGGCCGCGCUGUCACAGCAAAAGCACAGUGGACGCCUCGAAGUGGCACGACAAGACACAGCAGGGUGUUUGCGGUGGAUUCUGAGUGGUGUGGUUCCGCGAAAAUUUAUAAAACUGCCCCUUAAAAUUAUUUGCAGUUUCGACAUUCUCUCUAAAGAGCAGUUAAGUUGUUCUGAUGAGAAAAAAUAAGUAUUCUAAAAAUAUUUUUACCACCUACAUAAGUUUUCUGUGAACAGUCCUGCAAUAUUAGUGGAUCUCUCCCCUGCCAUCCCACACGCAUUUAAAUAUUAUGUACCUAUCAUCUAUCUUUCUGUCUGUCUAUCUAUCUAUCUAUCUAUCUAUCUAUCUAUCUAUCUAUCUAUCUAUCUAUCUAUCUAUCUAUCUAUCUAUCUAUCAUUCUAUCUAUCUAUUUAAGGGAGAUCUUGUCAGUUUCUGGGACAGUGACCAAGCUCUUCUUCCCUGGCUCUUCUAUCCUGGCCCCCUCCGGCCACGCCCCACACCGUGUUUUUUUUUUUUUUUUUUUUAAGAAGGGUAGCCCCGCCCCCACACCUAUGUUGGUCAUAGGCUGCUGGAAAAACACGGAGAGUUGGAUUAAGCAAAUUAACGCUACUAAAGUGGCUCAGGCUGUCAGACCCCGCGUAUUCCACUCUGAGUUAGGAACAGCUGUCAAGAUGACAGGAAGCUGUUAACGGGAUAGCAGUCGACCUCCUUCUCUGUGACUGACAAACCCAGAGGCAAAGUAUUGUCUGUGACCUCAAGCCCUGAGUUCCGCCGCAGAAGUGGCUGCAGGCAACUGAGCAUGCUCUGAACAGUGCCAGACUGCUGCACGUGGUUGCCUCUGGCAUCUGGCUGCCCAAGGUUGAGGAACAUCAAGACACCAGAGCUCAGAAGACAGGAGGAGGGAGCUGCCCUUACAGCAAGCAAUAGCAUGGAGCUGUCCUAGAUCUUCCUGCCAUGUGGAAGUGAGCUUGCUCGUCGAGAUUUUGGUGGACUGAAACUGUAGCUCGGUGGUAGAGUGCUUGCCUAUCGUGGACAAAAGUCCCGAGUUCCAGCGUCGAAGAAAACCACGCCAAAGCCUUGCUGCUGGAACUCUUGCUCUGGUGGUUAUUUUCCUCAGAUCAUAAGAAUCAGCGAAGUCUUCACACUGAAGAAGGAAAGUUCCAAGUUCAAGGACCAAGAUUAGGAUCAUUCUGGAACACCUUUUUGGGUUGGCAUUCAGAACUGAAAGUUUAGCUCUGUUGCACAAAGGGUACAGUGCCAGGUGAUGCACUCUUUGACCAAGAAGGAUAAAAUGGACUAAAGAAAAGGGGCCACCUACCCAUCUCAAAACUAUUAACCCAGAAUUGUUCCUGUCAAAAGGAAAUGCAGGGACAAAGAGUGGAGCAGAGACCGAAAGAAAGGCCAUCCAGAGACUGCCCCACCUGGAGAUCCAUCCCAUAUACAGACACCAAACCCAGACACUAUUGCUGAUGCCAAGAAGUGCUUACUGACAGGAGCCUGAUAUGGAUGCCUCCUGGGAGGCUCUGCCAGAACCUGACCAAUACAGAUGCAGAUGCUUGCAGCCAACCAUCAGAUUGAGCAUGGGGAGCCCAAUGGAAGAGUUAGGGGAAGGCCUGAAGGAGCUGAAGGAGUUUGCAACCCCACAGGAAGAACAAUAUCAACCAACCAGACCCUGACCCUCCCAGAGCUCCCAGAGACUAAACCACCAACCAAAGAGUACACAUGGAGGGGGAAGGAGGGGCAAGGAGGGGGAAGUGGGUUUAAGGAGGGGAAACUGGGAAGUGGGAUUACAUUUGAAAAGUAAAUAAAUAAAAUAACCAAUUUAAAAAAAAAAAAGAAAGAAAGAAAGGAAGAAAGAAAAGAAGAGCCAAUAGGACAGCCCAAAGUGCAGCGAUGCUACCAGUAAGCCCAUGAUUUAUAGCUGUGCUGUUCCUGCAGUAAUGCCCUGUGAGCAUCCCUGAGGCCAAAAAUUCAGAUGGAAUCCUCCUCAGAGCCCACUGCCUAAGUUUUCACUGAUCUUUACCAUCAGUCACACUUAAUAUUAAAUUGCCAAAGAAGAUUUGCCCAGAAUCUUUGACUUUCUACAACUUCCUCAUAAAAUACUUUUUUUUUUUUUCCUUCAAGCUGCUCUUCUAAUUGAUGUGUGAACACCUACGUCAGAUUUCAGUGCAUUUGUGAAGACAGAGGCACUGGGGGCACUUGGCGCAUUUACAGUCAGUGCAUCUGGGGACAAAGGCAGCAUAUCCUGUCUAACAGAGCACCAAACAUCAGAGUAUGAUGUAAUCCUAACUCGUGCUGCAAUCUUGAUUCCAUGUAAGAUCAGAUUCCAAGAGUGGGAAUUGGGAUUUUCUUUUAUAGGAAUGUGGGGGACACAGUUCACCUUCUGAAAGUGUGGUUUCCUUGAAGAAAAAUUAGCUUCCUGUAAGAGACCCAGCAAAUAUUUUGAGAGUAAAUACUCAUUUGCUAUGACUGCCAAGUAGAAUUUGCCAUUUUAACUUUGAACAAUAUGCUGAUGGACCUUGAAGUGUUAAGUGUAUGUUGGCCUUCCUAAGAAGCACACACACACACAUACACACACACACACACACACACACACACACACACGCUUCUCUAGAAUAAAAAAUAGUCUUAAAAAACAUAAAAACACCACUUCAAGACUACGCAAUAUUCUGCCAGUCUCACAUAAGAAGACAGAUUAUAUUAAGUGUGUCAGUUGUAAAAAAAAAAUCAAUAUUUAAACUGAUUCUGUUUUCUACCAUUCCUUAGAAUUGUUUCAACCUUGUAUCUUCAUCUAGUAUGCAGCAGGACACCCUGUUGAUGGAAUCAAAUAAUGCUUGUAUACAGUGACUUGUAUUUUUGAAGUUAAUUGAAUGGACAUGUCUAGUUGGCAUUGUUCAUAAAAUUUCAGGCUUAUAGUACGAUUUAAUCAUAUUGGAUGCAUAGUUCUUUCUAAAACUUGAAAUUUUCUUAAUAUCAGAUUUCCCAAAUUCCCACUGAUCUUUUCUGCAAGACUGCCACCUGCUGGCAAAAGGUUUGUUACUUUACAUAGAAAACAAUUGCACAGUUUACUCAGUGUACAAGGGGAUGCAUUACAACUUGAAACAUGUACCUAGGCUUUGGGGUUUCCUAGGUUGGUGUAAAUGACCGAAACAUAGAUGUCCCCAAAGCCCUCACCCUACAAGGUUUUAUGUGUAUUCUUUCCAGUUGGCUGUUAAUAGCAAGCCAUGAAUACAUGUGUCUGAGUCUUGGGAAGACGGGCCAACUGUGGCUCAGGCUCAUUCCUUUUGAAUGAUUGUGAAAUGACUAUGACUGUGGGCGAGGGGUCUCUAAGCAUUGUUAAAAUGUAUGCAUCUCUGAAGUCCUUUUGUAACUACAAUUUUUCUAAUGUAUUGGGAAUGCAGCUUUGUGCUCUGCCAGGACUGCCACCUUACUCCCCUGGCUGGCAGCAGCAGCCCCAGGACUACCCCUCACUAAGGACUUCCUCAGAUCUUCAUAAAGUGACACAAUUUUACACUGUGAUGACAGGAACUGCUUACAUGUGAGCUUGCAAGUCUGCUUUAAACAAUCUCCUAUUUCCUUGUCUGUAGCAGGGUUAACGAUUCUGUUGUAACAGGGCUAACAUUUUCUAGUUGUCUUGAAGUUUAAAUUAGAUUUCAAUAUAUACAUGAAAACUGUUAACUUUGUUAUUGGUAUCUCAGGGUCAGAUAUGGCACCACUAUCACCAGUAAUUAAAAGACUGAUCAA
RNAcentral lists this long non-coding RNA (4077 nucleotides) under Mus musculus (house mouse). Its description in RNAcentral is "predicted gene, 34730". Lineage: Eukaryota; Metazoa; Chordata; Mammalia; Rodentia; Muridae. The record is from RNAcentral.